UACGGGGGGGGCAAGCGUUGUUCGGAAUUACUGGGCGUAAAGCGUGCGUAGGUGGUUCGUUAAGUCUGUCGUGAAAGCCCCGGGCUCAACCUGGGAAUGGCGAUGGAUACUGGCGAGCUAGAGUGCGGUAGAGGAGAGUGGAAUUCCCGGUGUAGCAGUGAAAUGCGUAGAGAUCGGGAGGAACAUCAGUUGCGAAGGCGGCUCUCUGGACCAGCACUGACACUGAGGCACGAAAGCGUGGGGAGCAAACAGG
This 253-nucleotide ribosomal RNA is filed under the name uncultured bacterium. RNAcentral describes it as "partial 16S ribosomal RNA". It matches the Rfam family "Bacterial small subunit ribosomal RNA", at positions 524 to 776 of the family's 1533-position model. The record is from RNAcentral.